UCUUUAUUUCCCCAAUACACCAACUCUUCGGAAACGCUGUGUAGCUGCCAAAGCGCUUUCCUGGCCGUUGGCUUCCUGGCGCUUCUCCACAUCCCGGGGAGGACUUUGCACGUCGCUGAGCACACCGAAGGUGCUCGAGCAGCACUGGGGACACGGAAUGGAACGAGAGAGAUGGCUGCAGAGGCACUGCAGAGGCUGGUGGGGACGGGAGGCCUUGCUGAGGCACCUGACGAACUGCUCUGGCCACAGCUGGAGGGGCUGUCCUGUCACAAAGCCCCCUGAGACAUGAUGUCACACACAGACACCACUCUCCUUGAAAAAGGGAGGGGCUGGGCCCUGGGCUCCCAGACUUAGCUGGGCUCCGGUGCCCUUCUAGGCUCGGUCCUAGAGCCGGACGGGGGGCGAGGAGGACGCUGCCUGGACUCUGAUACGGUCAGAGGGAGCUCUGCAAAUCGCCGACACCAUCGAGGUUGGCAGCUUUGGCAAGCCAGGCUCGAAGGCUGUCCUCAGUAAAGCACCCAAGCAGGUGAAAAUUGUCUCUACA
Molecule: non-coding RNA, 544 nt
Organism: Leptonychotes weddellii (Weddell seal)
Lineage: Eukaryota; Metazoa; Chordata; Mammalia; Carnivora; Phocidae
Source: RefSeq, a predicted model, not a curated record